CAGUAGCCGCGGGAAAACGUAGGUGGCAAGCGUUGUCCGGAAUUAUUGGGCGUAAAGGGCUCGCAGGCGGUUUCUUAAGUCUGAUGUGAAAGCCCCCGGCUUAACCGGGGAGGGUCAUUGGAAACUGGGAAACUUGAGUGCAGAAGAGGAGAGUGGAAUUCCACGUGUAGCGGUGAAAUGCGUAGAGAUGUGGAGGAACACCAGUGGCGAAGGCGACUCUCUGGUCUGUAACUGACGCUGAGGAGCGAAAGCGUGGGGAGCGAACAGGAUUAGAUACCCCCGUAGUCCCUGUCUCUUAUAC
Molecule: ribosomal RNA, 301 nt
Filed under: uncultured bacterium
Lineage: Bacteria
Description: partial 16S ribosomal RNA
Rfam family: Bacterial small subunit ribosomal RNA
Source: RNAcentral